Molecule: ribosomal RNA, 429 nt
Filed under: Escherichia coli
Lineage: Bacteria; Pseudomonadati; Pseudomonadota; Gammaproteobacteria; Enterobacterales; Enterobacteriaceae
Description: bacterial SSU rRNA
Rfam family: Bacterial small subunit ribosomal RNA
Source: RNAcentral
UGUCGUCAGCUCGUGUUGUGAAAUGUUGGGUUAAGUCCCGCAACGAGCGCAACCCUUAUCCUUUGUUGCCAGCGGUCCGGCCGGGAACUCAAAGGAGACUGCCAGUGAUAAACUGGAGGAAGGUGGGGAUGACGUCAAGUCAUCAUGGCCCUUACGACCAGGGCUACACACGUGCUACAAUGGCGCAUACAAAGAGAAGCGACCUCGCGAGAGCAAGCGGACCUCAUAAAGUGCGUCGUAGUCCGGAUUGGAGUCUGCAACUCGACUCCAUGAAGUCGGAAUCGCUAGUAAUCGUGGAUCAGAAUGCCACGGUGAAUACGUUCCCGGGCCUUGUACACACCGCCCGUCACACCAUGGGAGUGGGUUGCAAAAGAAGUAGGUAGCUUAACCUUCGGGAGGGCGCUUACCACUUUGUGAUUCAUGACUGGG